This 1412-nucleotide long non-coding RNA is filed under the name Ursus maritimus (polar bear). RNAcentral describes it as "lncRNA (ENSUMAG00000009345.1)". The record is from RNAcentral. Lineage: Eukaryota; Metazoa; Chordata; Mammalia; Carnivora; Ursidae.
UUUUCCCUCCUUCUUUCCUUCUUUGAUUCUUUGGUCCUUCCUUCCCUUCCUUCCUUCUUCUUUCUCCCCCUAAGUCUUCUUAUUUGGAAAUGAUACAAAUUGAGAGCUUUCUAGGAAGGUUCCUUUAAGAUUCUUCAAGAACCAAAGAAACCUGGUUUGAUUUUGUUUUAAAGGACAAGAGACUUCCUCCAGACUGUCUUCAUUUUCUUAGGGCAUUUUCUCUCCCAUUCCCAACCCCUGAAGUUAUUGUAACUCUUUACUUUAAAAUGAGCAAGGUUCUGUGUUCCCAACACCAGAUGUUCCCAGUUCCUGAGCAAACCAACAAAAAUAGGCGUUUUCUGAGGAUGCGAUAAAGAGGGCAGCAACCUGCUUACUUCAGAGAAAACCUUCCCUUCCGUCACUGCUAAUGCUGAAAUUAUUUCUCUGCCAGAUGUUUCUUACAUUUCUAAACUGUUUUUAAUUUUAAGAUAUAGUUUUAAAUUCUGAUUUAAUCUUCACAGAUGUGAGAACUUAAAACUUCUCAGCAAGGAUAAAUCAGUAUCUAUAGUAGUUCAAGAAGCAGUCAGUUAGGAAUCCAUUGAUUCAUUUAUUCAACAAAUAUUUAAUCAAUGCCAGCUGUGUACCAAGCACCAUUUUAGGAUUCAGAGGCAAAUUAGCCUGAUAAGGGCCUGUCUAUCUUCUCGGUGCUUUCAUGCAAGAAAGGGAAACAGAGAUUAAACAAGCAAAUGAGAAGCAUCAGACACAAAGUCCACAAUGAGAAUAACACUGAUGUGAUAGUAACGGGGGACUGUUUCAGGUUAGGUGGUUAAAAGAGGCCUCUCCAAGGAAGUGCUGGUUAAGUAAAGAGCAGGGCGAGGAGCCAGACGUGAAAGAUCAGAAGCCCAUUACGGUCCGAGUGAAGAGAGCCAGACUGUCUGAAAUCCUUUGCUUCCCAUGAACAGUUGGUACUGGACCAGUGAGCCCCGUCUCUCCCCAGAGGCAGCUGUUCUGUAUGCGGGGCUGGAAGGCUCUGAAGAAGUUUAUGAGGAAGCACAAAGAGGAUCGGGUUGGAGUCUGAAGAUCUGGGUUCUUGUUUUAACCAUUCCCCUAAUGGAAAGUUUGUGAUUUCAGACAGCACACUUAAUCUCCUGCUUCAUUUAUUCAUUGGUAAGUGAUAGAUAAUUGUUGAGGACCCCUCCGUCUCUUUCUGCAUUGUAUGCUUAUCUAUGAAGUUUCGUCUCUUCAAUUACAUUUAAAAACACGGUAGAACAAGGUGACAACUGCUCAAACUGGUAACAUGUCUUCAUCAAGUCCAGCAGUGUCGCGUAGAUGUGGACCAGAGGAGACGGCUGAGUGAAAAGAUGACAGUUCUCAAAGUGAAAACUGUUGGACCAGUGAAUAAACCCUGGCUCUCACAGACGUGGAGUGUUCCA